CAAGUGGAGCGACGAACCAGGCUUCGGCCUGGGGCAAAGCCGCGAACGGGUGAGUAACACGUGGGUAACCUGCCCCGAUGACCGGGACAACCCGAGGAAACUCGGGCUAAUACCGGAUGUGCUCCUCGCACGGAAGUGCGCGGAGUAAAGGAAGCUUCGGCCUCCGCUUCGGGAGGGGCCCGCGGCCCAUUAGCUAGUUGGUGAGGUAACGGCUUGCCAAGGCAACGAUGGGUAGCUGGUCUGAGAGGACGAUCAGCCACACUGGGACUGAGACACGGCCCAGACUCCUACGGGAGGCAGCAGUGGGGAAUCUUGCGCAAUGCGCGAAAGCGUGACGCAGCAACGCCGCGUGGGGGAAGAAGGCCUUCGGGUUGUAAACCCCUUUCAGGAGGGACGAAGGCACGGCGGUGAACAGCCGUCCGUGCUGACGGUACCUCCAGAAGAAGCCCCGGCUAACUACGUGCCAGCAGCCGCGGUAAUACGUAGGGGGCAAGCGUUGUCCGGAAUCAUUGGGCGUAAAGCGCGCGUAGGCGGCCCGGUAAGUCCGCUGUAAAAGUCCAGGGCUCAACCCUGGAAAGCCGGUGGAUACUGUCGGGCUAGAGUCCGGAAGAGGCGAGUGGAAUUCCUGGUGUAGCGGUGGAAUGCGCAGAUAUCAGGAGGAACACCGAUGGCGAAGGCAGCUCGCUGGGACGGUACUGACGCUGAGGCGCGAAAGCGUGGGGAGCGAACAGGAUUAGAUACCCUGGUAGUCCACGCCGUAAACGAUGGGCACUAGGUGUGGGAGGUGUCGACUCCUUCCGUGCCGUCGCUAACGCAUUAAGUGCCCCGCCUGGGGAGUACGGCCGCAAGGCUAAAACUCAAAGGAAUUGACGGGGGCCCGC
RNAcentral lists this ribosomal RNA (881 nucleotides) under uncultured Rubrobacteraceae bacterium. Its description in RNAcentral is "bacterial SSU rRNA". It matches the Rfam family "Bacterial small subunit ribosomal RNA", at positions 58 to 924 of the family's 1533-position model. Lineage: Bacteria; Bacillati; Actinomycetota; Rubrobacteria; Rubrobacterales; Rubrobacteraceae. The record is from RNAcentral.